RNAcentral lists this ribosomal RNA (262 nucleotides) under uncultured archaeon. Its description in RNAcentral is "partial 16S ribosomal RNA". It matches the Rfam family "Archaeal small subunit ribosomal RNA", at positions 748 to 1008 of the family's 1478-position model. The record is from RNAcentral.
CAGCCGUAAACUAUGCGCGUUAGGUGUACUGGUGACCACGAGUCACCGGGGUGCCGAAGUGAAACCGUGAAACGUGCCGCCUGGGAAGUACGGUCGCAAGGCUGAAACUUAAAGGAAUUGGCGGGGGGAGCACCACAACGGGUGGAGCCUGCGGUUUAAUUGGACUCAACGCCGGAAAUCUCACCGGAUAGGACAGACAUAUGAUAGUCGGGCUGAAGACUCUACUUGAUGAUCUGAGAGGAGGUGCAUGGCGUCAGUGACU